Molecule: ribosomal RNA, 468 nt
Filed under: uncultured bacterium
Lineage: Bacteria
Description: partial 16S ribosomal RNA
Rfam family: Bacterial small subunit ribosomal RNA
Source: RNAcentral
GACGAACGCUGGCGGCGUGCUUAACACAUGCAAGUCGAACGGAAAGGCCCUGCUUUUGUGGGGUGCUCGAGUGGCGAACGGGUGAGUAACACGUGAGUAACCUGCCCUUGACUUUGGGAUAACUUCAGGAAACUGGGGCUAAUACCGGAUAGGAGCUCCUGCUGCAUGGUGGGGGUUGGAAAGUUUCGGCGGUUGGGGAUGGACUCGCGGCUUAUCAGCUUGUUGGUGGGGUAGUGGCUUACCAAGGCUUUGACGGGUAGCCGGCCUGAGAGGGUGACCGGCCACAUGGGGACUGAGAUACGGCCCAGACUCCUCCGGGAGGCAGCAGUGGGGAAUAUUGCACAAUGGGCCGACGCCUGAUGCAGCAACGCCGCGUGCGGGAUGACGGCCUUCGGGUUGUAACCCGCUUUCGCCUGUGACGAAGCGUGAGUGACGGUAAUGGGUAAAGAAGCACCGGCUAACUACGUG